GGUAUGUAGAAUAUGAACAACAAGAAAGCACUGUGAGAGUGCAAACCUGCAUCAGUGCAGUACAACACUUCAAUACGUCCAUGCAAUGCCGUACUCUCUCAGCAGUAUUUACUUUUAUGGGAACUGAAUUUUGUUUGUAUUAAAGUUGUUUUGUUUUUAAACAUACUGAAGAAAAAAUAAUGUGUUUUUGGGUCAACUUGAAGUAUCGGUCUGAAGUGUAAAAUUAAGAUCAGAGGUCAAAUGUGACGAUGCUCUUUCUAAACGCUGAGCGUACGCACCACACUCAUAAGACUCACAGUUUCUAAGGUGUGAGGCUUCGAGACCUUGGUGGAUAUGAGCCAGACUGAGUUAUUGUAUUGUUAAUAGGACCCCACUCUAGACCUCUACAGAUUUUCAUGAGAAUUCAUGCUGUUGUGUUCACAGACUCACACAUGCAAACAUGACAAAACAACAGAAACUCCUUGGUGGAGAUAAUUCAACAAAGUAGUGUUUAUAUAUUCUGUUGCAUCAUUUUGCCUUAGUUGUAGUUUGUUUGCAUCAGUAUUGGUUAUUUAUUUUAUUUAUUUAUUUUAUUUUAUUUUAUUUUUUUCCUCGCCUGUCCCAUUUGGUUCUUUAGCCGUCAGAAUUGUUGUCUGAAGACCAACAAGGAUACCCAAUGGAUUUACUUUGCCAAAUGGAUCAUCGUGGCAUUGCCGUAUUGGUCCAUUUGGUCGAUCUUUGUUUUUAUUAUUUAUUAUAUUUUUCAGACCAAACAUUGUUACAUUAUGUCAGACGAUUUUGUUUUAUUUCAUUAUAUAUUUUUUGUUUAUCUGAACACAUACGUGUGUGUGUGUAUAUCUACAUAUAUAUUCGUAUCUGUAAAUGAAAAUAUAUGUAGUGUGUAUAUAUUGUUUUUUGUUUUAUAUGUCUGAAACAAAUAAAGAUACAAUACAAUUUUCAGAUGUUACAGACGGGACAGACAUGAGUGAGGGAUAGGAAAGGGAGAAAGAAAGAGGAAGGAAAGGAAAAACAGAAGGGGAGAGGGACAGUGAGAAAGGGGGGGAGAAAAAAAAAUCUCCUGGAUCACCUGUUGAGAGAAGAAUAGAAAACAAGCAAAAAAAGACAAAAAAAAGAAACAAAGCAACAUACUAAACACAACACCAUCGCAUUAAUCUAGCUAAGUGUAAACAGCAGUAAAUACUAAAUAUUCAAUGUUGUUGUGCAGCACGCAGGACAGAUGUGCUUCGAAGUAGCAGCCAAGAAAGGUGUAAUUUGGGUCUACGAGCAGUGAACACCCGUGUGCAUACCUGUGUGGAUCAGCGCGCUUGUAUUCCAAAGGUUUCUCCAUG
This is a long non-coding RNA of Astatotilapia calliptera (eastern happy), 1328 nucleotides long. Lineage: Eukaryota; Metazoa; Chordata; Actinopteri; Cichliformes; Cichlidae. The record is from Ensembl.